UACAGAGGUCUCAAGCGUUGUUCGGAUUCAUUGGGCGUAAAGGGUGCGUAGGUGGCGCCGUAAGUCAGGUGUGAAAUCUCGGGGCUCAACCCCGAAACUGCACUUGAUACUGCGGUGCUCGAGUACUGGAGAGGAGAUUGGAAUUUACGGUGUAGCAGUGAAAUGCGUAGAUAUCGUAAGGAAGACCAGUGGCGAAGGCGAAUCUCUGGACAGUUACUGACACUGAGGAGCGAAAGCCAGGGGAGCAAACGGG
RNAcentral lists this ribosomal RNA (253 nucleotides) under uncultured bacterium. RNAcentral describes it as "partial 16S ribosomal RNA". It matches the Rfam family "Bacterial small subunit ribosomal RNA", at positions 524 to 776 of the family's 1533-position model. The record is from RNAcentral.